Long non-coding RNA from Penaeus monodon (black tiger shrimp), 763 nucleotides. RefSeq lists it as uncharacterized. Lineage: Eukaryota; Metazoa; Arthropoda; Malacostraca; Decapoda; Penaeidae. The record is from RefSeq and is a predicted model, not a curated record. The transcript has 3 exons.
GAACACAACUCGAACAUUUCCCGAACGAACCCCAAGCCAAGACCACGACCGCUUGUAAACGUGUCUCCGAGAAGGGUGUUUCUAAAUUACCAAUUAUAACCUUUUAAUUAGUUCUUCUUCGGUGUGGGAAAGUUAUUAGACCUUCUGGCUUCGCUUUGUUCCUUUGGAGAGGAGACCUGCAAGCCGUGGGUGUCCUGCAUAUCGGACAGGAUCUGGAGUGUCCUCAGCCGUGUGCAGGAUCGGCCCGUGUUCCUUGUGGUUCCGACGACGGCCUGUCACGACCGCCGCCCGAUCCAUCAUAGGACUUGGCUGGACCUUUUGCCUCUGCCCCGGCCGGCCUCAGCUGCCCUGCUUGUCGUGCCUAACCCCGGCGGUCUCGCUUCGCCCCUGCGGAGAAUGAUAUUGCGGUGGACGUACAAUUUUUCGCUAUUACUCUCAAAAGAAAAAAACAAACGGCAACUCAACUCUCUGAUCGAUAACGCCCCUUCAGACCCGUAACGUUCGCUGAUUGGCCUAGAGAGACCCAGCAAAUGCUCAUGGGCGGAGCCUAUGGGCCAUAACUUCCCCGAUUGGCCAGUAUUCUUAAAUUUGAAACGAGCUGAUUGGUUAGUCAUAAAAUAAAUCUCAUAACUUAAACAAGAUGGCGGUUUGAACAAAGUAACUCACGUGCGAGCAAACAUGUGAUAAUGGUAGCGCAGGUGAGACUCGCUUGUAUACAAACAGAACAGAUACGUGUGGAACCCAAUGCCUAAUUAUACAAUAA